AUCGCUUCUCGGCCUUUUGGCUAAGAUCAAGUGUAGUAUCUGUUCUUAUCAGUUUAAAACAGUAUUUUAAACUGUGUGUUUCUAUGUGGGUGCAAACUGAUGAAAUCUUUGCUUAAUAUAUACUAAAUUUACCUUCU
Molecule: small nuclear RNA, 137 nt
Organism: Oryctolagus cuniculus (rabbit)
Lineage: Eukaryota; Metazoa; Chordata; Mammalia; Lagomorpha; Leporidae
Gene: U2
Rfam family: U2 spliceosomal RNA
About the family: U2 is a small nuclear RNA (snRNA) component of the spliceosome (involved in pre-mRNA splicing). Complementary binding between U2 snRNA (in an area lying towards the 5' end but 3' to hairpin I) and the branchpoint sequence (BPS) of the intron results the bulging out of an unpaired adenosine, on the BPS, which initiates a nucleophilic attack at the intronic 5' splice site, thus starting the first of two transesterification reactions that mediate splicing.
Source: Ensembl